RNAcentral lists this signal recognition particle RNA (273 nucleotides) under Candidatus Woesearchaeota archaeon. RNAcentral describes it as "signal recognition particle sRNA". It matches the Rfam family "Archaeal signal recognition particle RNA". The record is from RNAcentral. Lineage: Archaea; Nanobdellati; Candidatus Woesearchaeota.
GGGCAGACUAGGCUGGCGGGCUAGCCCCUCGUUGUUACCGCAAACGGGCUAUAUGGCGGAGCUGAAGCCUGUGGAGAGGUGUAUGCUUGAGUCAUGGUCUUAAGCCGUACGUUGAAGCCUUGUCCUGAUUGGCUGUUGCUUUUACGAACCGGAUCAGGCCUUGAACGGAGCAGUCCUAAGUAAUUGUGAUGGUGCUUUCAGGGUAGCAGGGUGGAGGAAAGCUUAAGGGUCGCCAUGGCUGGGGCAUGCUUCCAUCUGCAGGCGUGUCUGCCU